Molecule: ribosomal RNA, 430 nt
Filed under: Bacteroidota bacterium
Lineage: Bacteria; Pseudomonadati; Bacteroidota
Description: Bacteroidetes bacterium partial 16S ribosomal RNA
Rfam family: Bacterial small subunit ribosomal RNA
Source: RNAcentral
UAGGGAAUCUUCGGCAAUGGGGGGAACCCUGACCGAGCAACGCCGCGUGAGUGUAGAAGGUUUUCGGAUCGUAAAGCUCUGUUGUUAAGGAAGAACGAGUGUGAGAAUGGAAAGUUCAUACUGUGACGGUACCUAAUCAGAAAGCCACGGCUAACUACGUGCCAGCAGCCGCGGUAAUACGUAGGUGGCAAGCGUUAUCCGGAAUUAUUGGGCGUAAAGCGCGCGUAGGCGGUUUUUUAAGUCUGAUGUGAAAGCCCACGGCUCAACCGUGGAGGGUCAUUGGAAACUGGAAAACUUGAGUGCAGAAGAGGAAAGUGGAAUUCCAUGUGUAGCGGUGAAAUGCGCAGAGAUAUGGAGGAACACCAGUGGCGAAGGCGACUUUCUGGUCUGUAACUGACGCUGAUGUGCGAAAGCGUGGGGAUCAAACAGG